UGAUGCGCAACUGACGGAUAGUGGGUGAACCACAGGGAGCGCAUGGAAGAAAAAUGUCGACCGUCUGGGCAGUC
RNAcentral lists this non-coding RNA (74 nucleotides) under uncultured Lachnoclostridium sp. RNAcentral describes it as "ZMP/ZTP riboswitch". It matches the Rfam family "ZMP/ZTP riboswitch aptamer (pfl RNA motif)". From Rfam's summary of the family: Previously known as pfl RNA. ZMP is also known as AICAR. Lineage: Bacteria; Bacillati; Bacillota; Clostridia; Lachnospirales; Lachnospiraceae. The record is from RNAcentral.